Molecule: ribosomal RNA, 301 nt
Filed under: uncultured bacterium
Lineage: Bacteria
Description: partial 16S ribosomal RNA
Rfam family: Bacterial small subunit ribosomal RNA
Source: RNAcentral
CAGCCGCCGCGGUAAUACGGAGGGAGCUAGCGUUGUUCGGAAUUACUGGGCGUAAAGCGCGCGUAGGCGGUUACUCAAGUCAGAGGUGAAAGCCCGGGGCUCAACCCCGGAACUGCCUUUGAAACUAGGUGACUAGAAUCUUGGAGAGGUCAGUGGAAUUCCGAGUGUAGAGGUGAAAUUCGUAGAUAUUCGGAAGAACACCAGUGGCGAAGGCGACUGACUGGACAAGUAUUGACGCUGAGGUGCGAAAGCGUGGGGAGCAAACAGGAUUAGAUACCCGUGUAGUCCCUGUCUCUUAUAC